RNAcentral lists this ribosomal RNA (449 nucleotides) under uncultured bacterium. Its description in RNAcentral is "bacterial SSU rRNA". It matches the Rfam family "Bacterial small subunit ribosomal RNA", at positions 328 to 793 of the family's 1533-position model. The record is from RNAcentral.
UAUCCAGACUCCUACGGGAGGCAGCAGUGGGGAAUAUUGCACAAUGGGGGAAACCCUGAUGCAGCGACGCCGCGUGAGUGAAGAAGUAAUUCGUUCUGUAAAGCUCUAUCAGCAGGGAAGAAAAUGACGGUACCUGAGUAAGAAGCCCCGGCUAACUACGUGCCAGCAGCCGCGGUAAUACGUAGGGGGCAAGCGUUAUCCGGAUUUACUGGGUGUAAAGGGAGCGCAGGCGGCGCGUUAAGCCUGGUGUGAAAGCCCGCGGCCCAACCGCGGGACUGCAUUGGGAACUGGCGCGCUGGAGUGCCGGAGGGGUAGGCGGAAUUCCUAGUGUAGCGGUGAAAUGCGUAGAUAUUAGGAGGAACACCAGUGGCGAAGGCGGCCUACUGGACGGUGACUGACGCUGAGGCUCGAAAGCGUGGGGAGCAAACAGGAUUAGAUACCCUGGUAAG